UGAACGCUGGCGGCGUGCUUAACACAUGCAAGUCGAACGGGAAACCUUUUAAUGAAGCUUCGGCAGAUUUAGCUGGUUUCUAGUGGCGGACGGGUGAGUAACGCGUGGGUAACCUGCCUUAUACAGGGGGAUAACAGUCAGAAAUGACUGCUAAUACCGCAUAAGCGCACAGGACCGCAUGGUCCGGUGUGAAAAACUCCGGUGGUAUAAGAUGGACCCGCGUUGGAUUAGCUUGUUGGUGGGGUAACGGCUCACCAAGGCGACGAUCCAUAGCCGGCCUGAGAGGGUGAACGGCCACAUUGGGACUGAGACACGGCCCAGACUCCUACGGGAAGCAGCAGUGGGGAAUAUUGCACAAUGGGGGAAACCCUGAUGCAGCGACGCCGCGUGAAGGAAGAAGUAUCUCGGUAUGUAAACUUCUAUCAGCAGGGAAGAUAGUGACGGUACCUGACUAAGAAGCCCCGGCUAACUACGUG
This 476-nucleotide ribosomal RNA is filed under the name uncultured bacterium. RNAcentral describes it as "partial 16S ribosomal RNA". It matches the Rfam family "Bacterial small subunit ribosomal RNA", at positions 30 to 507 of the family's 1533-position model. The record is from RNAcentral.